Eucalyptus grandis is the source of this 623-nucleotide long non-coding RNA. RefSeq lists it as uncharacterized. The transcript is spliced from 3 exons. The record is from RefSeq and is a predicted model, not a curated record. NCBI's taxonomy places the organism in Eukaryota, Viridiplantae, Streptophyta, Magnoliopsida, Myrtales, Myrtaceae.
AGGAAGCACAGAUCAGCAUGCCUACAAACAACAGCUGAGAGAGGGUGUGCACAACUUCUUUGUAACAUUCAUUGAAGUGCUUCGUGAGAGACCACCUGGUCAUGAUUGGGAGCUUGAACCUAGUGUUACCUGUGGUGACUAUCUGUUUGGAUUGCUUCAAGUUAGUUUACAAUAAGAGCUACUAAUAUUUACCUUUAAGAAGAUUCUAGCAAUAGUCGAAGUUCUUAUGUCUAUUGUUUCUGAAGUUUAAGAUCUCAGACUUCUCUUGGAAAGGAGACUUGAGUUCAGUGGAUGAUUUACUUAUAGUCACUGAGGCCAGGUAUCUUACUAGAACAAGCUUGUCUAAGAUGGAAACUAUCAGCUCUUAAGGAACGGGGAACACUUAAAGAAACUGUUGAGUGGGGUGGUAGAAACAUGGAUAAGAAGAAAAGCAAGCUCGUAGGCAUUGCAGAUGAUGGACAGAAAGAGAUCCGCAUUGAAAGGACAGAUGAAUUUGGCCGAAUAUUAACCCCAAAGGAAGCUUUCCGAUUGCUUUCCCAUAAAUUUCAUGGAAAAUGGCCUGGCAAAAUGAAGCAAGAGAAAAGCAUGAAGCAAUACCAGGAAGAAUUGAAGUUGAAGCAGAU